RNAcentral lists this ribosomal RNA (229 nucleotides) under uncultured bacterium. Its description in RNAcentral is "partial 16S ribosomal RNA". It matches the Rfam family "Bacterial small subunit ribosomal RNA", at positions 568 to 796 of the family's 1533-position model. The record is from RNAcentral.
UCCGUAGGCGGACUGAUAAGUCAGGGGUGAAAUCCAACAGCUUAACUGUUGAACUGCCCUUGAUACUGUUAGUCUUGAAUUAUAUGGAAGUAGAUAGAAUGUGUAGUGUAGCGGUGAAAUGCUUAGAGAUUACACAGAAUACCGAUUGCGAAGGCAGUCUACUACGUAUAUAUUGACGCUAAUGGACGAAAGCGUGGGGAGCGAACAGGAUUAGAUACCCUGGUAGUCC